Molecule: non-coding RNA, 2685 nt
Organism: Pelobates cultripes (western spadefoot toad)
Lineage: Eukaryota; Metazoa; Chordata; Amphibia; Anura; Pelobatidae
Source: the annotation of a GenBank genome assembly
AGGGGGGAGAGGGGUAGAGUAUCCAUGUGUUCUAUACUAUUGAAAAGUUUAGCAACCAAAUUCUAUCACCCAAAAUAUUAAUAACUGUCUACAUGAAAUAUUGGUCAGAAACAUUAAAUGACUAUAGUACAUACUGCAUGCACGGAAUAUUACAAACGACAGGUAAAAUGGUUACAAAUCUAUAGUAAUACAUGAGAAUGUUAGCAAUCCAGGAAUACAGGAGGUGGAUGGGUGCUAGUUUGGGUUCACUGGAGAUGUAGAAAUUAUGACCCAUUUACAAGGUUAAAUCUUUGGGGAAUUUAGACAAACAAAACACACAGAAAUGUGGAUGUAAACAUUAUAUAUAUUUAUAGAACAUUUGGCUGUUACAUUGGGCUACUGUUACAGUUUAGAAAUUAUUUGCCACAGAAAUAUAAAACCAAUGUGGCAAAUAGGCGAUCGACAAGGCUAUUGAAGGACCUAACUUGAAUUACAAAUAUAAUAAUUUUAAAAAAGUCAAAGGAACUUAAAAAGAAAGGAAUAAAAAAAAUACAAAAGUGAUAUGGUGAUCAGUGAACAUUAUGACCCCAAAUAAUAAUAAACCGAGAAGAGGAGUAUAUUUCUCUCACUAUAGAAAGUAAUGCUUGAAUCUGAAUGAAUCUGACUGAGAACUGGAACAGAUAUAUGACAUGUUUAUUCUUCCUUCGCUUUUGUAGGGCGGGGGGACACAGUGGCGUAGCAAAGGGGGUGGGGGGUGGUCCGUUCCGGGAGGCACUUUUUUGGGGUCACCUGACAGCAUGGGUCACCCGGUGGGCCCCUUGGACGGCGGCCCUGGCCGUUUGCCGUGUGGGCCAGGGCCGCAAAUGGUGAUGGCAGGUACUCGAUCGCAGAGGUCUGCAGGGCGGCCGGGCCCCCUGGAGUGACAGGCCCGGUUACAGCUGCCACCCCUGCAACCGGGGUAUAUACGCCAGUGUCCCCUCCAUCCCCUGUACAGAUCCCCCUCCCUCCCCUGCAACGUCCCCCUCCCUCCACAGAUCCCACUCUGUCCCUGCACCCUCCACACACACCCUCCCUCCCAAAAAAUAAAAGUAUAUAUUUUUAAAAUGUGUAAAAAAUUUAAUUCAAUAAGCUGCGUUUCACUACUAAGUGUUUCUUUUCACACCAAUAAAAAGUUAAAUAAUCUGAAGCGCUUCAGUAGCAAUAAUUAUUUAAAGGAACACUCUGCUCAAAUGGGCAAAAACCCUACCCCCAUAAAAUCACUGUUUAGUAGAUAUGCCCCCAAUGAAUUACAUGCAUGAAUUUUUCAGGCAUGUGUUCAUUGGGUGUAUAUCUUAAAAAAGCUUGAAAAGGUUCUAAACAGUGUUGGGCUAGAGGCGUUGAGUACUUAAAAGAGGUUUGUCUGGUGCAGCCACGGACGUCCGUGACUGUACCGGAUAUGAAAUGGGUCGAGAUAGGGGCGUCAAACUCAAGGGCCAGCCCUGGGCGGCAAAAGCUCUUGCUAUGCCACUGGGGGGACGACAUCCUGAUAGUACAGUAAUGACUGCACUCUCUGGCGGGCUCUGGCCAUGUUUCUCAGUGACUGGAGCUUGUAGAAUCAAAGCACUUGCUACCUGUACGUCUCUACCAGUGUGUGCUAUGGGACAGUGAGGGAGAUUUUAAAUCUCCCCUCAAGCCCUUGAAGGACUGAGUUGCUUUUUUGGGCUGGUGCGUACACAUCACACCUGUUACAACUAUGUUAUGUUACUAUAUUAUAACCAUAGCAACAUAGAAAGCAUGGAUAUAGGUAAAAUAAAGUUCAGAGAUUGCAAAUUGGAAUUUCUUACAAAAGGAUAACGUGGUAAUCAGAAGUAUGAGAGUAACCUAUAUAGUGGCUAAAAUACAGUGAUCCCUAAUGGUUAUAACAGGAGUUUGCUAAACUCCUGCUUGUAUGAGUGUUCCUUACUUACUUUAAAGGACCACUAUAGUGCCAGGAAAACAUAUUUGUUUUCCUGGCACUAUAGUGCCCUGAGGGUGCCCCCACCCUCAGGGUCCCCCUCCCGCCCGGCUCUGGGGAGAGGAAAGGAGUUAAAACUUACCUUUCUCCAGCGCCAGGCGGGGAGUUCUCCUCCUCCUCUCCACCUCCUCUCCUCCUCUUCGGCUGAAUGUGCAUGCGUGGCAGGAGCUGCGCGCGCAUUCAGCCAGUCUCAUAGGAAAGCAUUCAUAAUGCUUUCCUAUGGACGCUUGCGUCUUCUCACUGUGAUUUUCUCAGUGAGAAGCACGCAAACGCCUCUAGCGGCUGUCAAUGAGACAGCCACUAGAGCCUUUAGAGGCUGGAUUAACCUAUUUAUAAACAUAGCAGUUUCUCUAAAACUGCUAUGUUUAUAGAAAAAAGGGUUAAUCCUAGCUGGACCAGGCACCCAGACCACUUCAUUAAGCUGAAGUGGUCUGGGUGCCUAUAGUGGUCCUUUAACUAUACCGUAAUUUAUACUGAAAGACUAAUCCCUACCUCUUCCAUCACUAACUUCUCAUUGGUCUAAAUAUGAAUCGUAUAGUUACAUUUUAUUUUUUGCCAAACAUAUCAAAUAUUUAAUCGACUUGCUUUAUUUUGGUGAAACUUUUCAGCUAUUUUAAGUUUAAGUGUCAAAUAAAUCGCUGAUUGUUAAUGAAAAUUAUACUCUGUUUAUUAUUAUUAUUUUUACUUCUGUUUAUAAUUCCAUUCAGUUAUAU